UGAGGAAUCUUGCGCAAUGGGGGAAACCCUGACGCAGCAACGCGGCGUGAGUGAGGAAGGUCUUCGGAUCGUAAAGCUCUGUCAGUUGGAAAGAAAUGUCUGAGAGUCAAUCCCUUUCAGGCUUGACGGUACCAACAGAGGAAGCACCGGCUAACUCCGUGCCAGCAGCCGCGGUAAUACGGGGGGUGCAAGCGUUGUUCGGAAUUAUUGGGCGUAAAGAGCGUGUAGGCGGCCGGAGAUGUCAGAUGUGAAAGCCCUGGGCUCAACCCAGGAAGUGCAUCGGAAACUGUGCGGCUCGAGUAGGGGAGAGGGAAGUGGAAUUCCUGGUGUAGAGGUGAAAUUCGUAGAUAUCAGGAGGAACACCGGUGGCGAAGGCGACUUCCUGGCCCUAUACUGACGCUGAGACGCGAGAGCGUGGG
Molecule: ribosomal RNA, 419 nt
Filed under: uncultured bacterium
Lineage: Bacteria
Description: bacterial SSU rRNA
Rfam family: Bacterial small subunit ribosomal RNA
Source: RNAcentral